GGGCCCCCAUGCUGUGCAUGUAAUUUCUUGUUUGCACAUGGUCCCAAACAUCUUUGACCACUGCAGAGCAGUGAAGCAAUGUUUAGAGAGACAGAGAGGUUGAACAAGACAAAAAAAAAGAUUGAGAGAAAAGGAAAGCGGGGGGAGAGAAAACAGGAUGAUAACAAAAGCAGCUCGGAUUUCACAGACGCAUAUUUCAUCAAUCAUGUGAAUAAGUCGUGGUGAUUAUGCAUGGCGGUGGCAGGCUGAGGGGGGGCUGAUUACCAUACACCAUAAAGGCUGCUUUCUUAUCUCACACACACUGAUUAGUUUCUGUCUGCAGAUAGCCUCUCACUCUUCGCUCUUUUACACACACACAUACUCUUGGGUUGCGUCUAUUCUUGUUCUACACAUGGCAUGUAUUCAUGCAAGCACACGCCCAAAAACGCACACACACAUACUCAAAAAAAUAAAAAUAAAACACUGUUUGUCCACUGCGGAUAUAUAUAUAAGCAUGUUCAGUCAAGAUCAUCAAAUAGCAGAAAGCAAAGGGUAAAAUAUCUUCUCAAAUUUGCAUCUUGCAUAAUGUAUCUUGUAAUUGAUUUUUAUCAUUUAUCAUAUUUUUUUUCCAACAGGAUAUCACUUUAAAUUUUUCAUUGAAGCUAGUCUGACUUUUCCUGUGUGGGGUAAACCCGAGCCUUAACACACUUUGUUGGACACCGUUGUUUGUCCCGAGCUGCAACAACAAUGAAAUCCAUCACAUGAAGGUCCAACUUCUCUACCAGCCAAACAGAAUGCUCGGUUAUGCGGCCCUGCAAAGUAUGGACGAUGGCUUCUUCAAGACCUGGAUCUUGUGAUUGCAUUCCGCGGCUUCCCCAUGCUUUACAAAUACUUCAGGUCUUUUAGUGUACCCGUGUACAAUCACUUGAUGCUCUCUUUUGUCCCAGUGGAAGAAUGUGGUGAUGGCGAGUUCCUCCGUCGCCUGGUGUCCGUAGAGGGUAAAGUCCUCUUCGCUGUGGAUCAGGGGAACGUCAAACUUAAUCACGGAUUUUCAUAGGAGAAAGCUGGUCAAGACAUUGUUGGCCACCUACGUCUUUGAUAAGUCUGCUCCUCCAAGGCUGGCAGCAUCGUGUGAAACACCUCCUUCUGGCCUCAGAAAAUGAAGAGAACUACAAAUAAAGAUGGCUGGUUGUAUGUACUAUAUUGUAUUUGCAUAGUGGGUAUUUUUGAGUCCAUGGGUUCGGUGUAGUCAGUUUGAGUUCACGUCUAUUUGGCUUUUUAUCAAAGAAAACACACUUUACAGUAUUCUACGGUCAGUAGUUUAUUUCCCAGAGUAUUUGUGAUUCGGAGUCACUGGAUGUUCAACAAAAUCAGGUCCAAUCUGACAACAACCACAAGUCACUAUGUGUUGAUUCUGUAUAAAAAAAUGUAAUGUGUUUCGAAAGAAACCGAAACAUCCAUUGGGUCCAUUGACUUUUCCAACAUGUGGUAUUACAGGAUCCAUUGAGUGAUUUCAACAUUCACGGAUUGUCAAAACAACAACAUGGUUAAUACAAAACAUUUCCUCAUCUCUGCAUCUCGUUUGGUCUGACCAACUACAAAUCAAAAAAGAACAAGAAAAACAUACAAUAUCAAAUUUGUGGUUAUUGAAACUUUUUUCCGCAAAAAAAACGUACAGAUGUAUAGCAUGUUCCUUUGUGCUGACAUUUUGAAAGACUUUAUUUCAAUUGCCAGUCAAAAUUAUUAAGACCAUCGCUGACCCUUUUCUGGUUGAGACGACUUCACAUGUCACCUCCUCGGGCUGCGCCCUGAGGCAGGACUCCGUCACAUACUCGACGGUUUUGAUCAUGAAGUACAAAGCGAGUCUGCCUCCAUCACUUUUUGGUCUCUGGCACCGACACGUGGCACAGAGGUUUCCAUCAUUUAAUCUACUUAAUUCUACGCUAAUUCGCUAACACAAACUUUGUCUCCGGUCCUUUCUUGUUUGCUUCCUCUCUUCUCCCCCUGUCCUCCGUGUUGCUGGCGUCCCCCCCGGGCCUGUGCUAUAAGGCGUGGAAUGGGAGCAUAGACAGAGCAUUUAGUAAUGGCUUCUUAAUGGGCUUGUCGACAGCCACAUUAGAGCGUACAGGCAGCGGGCGAGGCCGAGCAGCGAUAUGCCAAGCCAGAUGCCAUGCCAGCUGUGGCACUCCACUCUCUCACUUACGCUCUCAUUUGUAAUCACAUUUCUCAUACGGAUGGACGCCAUGUGCGUGAAGAAGAAAAAAAGGCAGACGCACAGGCAUGUCUCCUCCCAAUUCUGCUCAGUUGUUGGGAGCUGAUGACAUCAAUGGGGACGUUGUGGUGUUAAAAAGGAAAUGUAAACCGUGAUUGGUGGUCUGUGGAGGAACCUUUUAAGGAAAAUUGGGGUUUAUCUCAGAAAAUAAUGACUGUUAACAAAAGGAAAACAUCAACAAAGAUCUCACAAGCGGCUCAUAUAUAUACUUUUGAAUACAUGUUUUUAUUGUAUAGGAUUGUAUUCCUUUUGCUACACCGCUGCCUGCUUUCAGGAAUGGGACUCCCUGGACCUCCUGAGCCUCCUUCUGUAUGAGCAUUCAGCUGCAUUUGAAUUGUUUUAACAUGUGCUCAAGUGUCUUAAAUGUUAUGUACUACAGUCUCUGCCAGCACUCUGCUCAAGCCUGAGUCACUGUGGAGCAUCACGUCCGCC
Gasterosteus aculeatus aculeatus (three-spined stickleback) is the source of this 2683-nucleotide long non-coding RNA. The record is from Ensembl. NCBI's taxonomy places the organism in Eukaryota, Metazoa, Chordata, Actinopteri, Perciformes, Gasterosteidae.